CCACCUGGAACAUGUUGUGCUGCCAUUUCGUUCACUUUCUUUCCAUGGAGGGGGAAGCUGUGCAAAGCCUGUUGAAGGAUAUAUGCAUUCCAGAGCUUUAGAGAUUCAAAGAACCGGAGGCUGGAGCCUACCUCUCCUGCUGACUGUGAAUGAAGACUGCAGUAUACUCCGGUACAAGUCCAUCCGCUCUUGAACUUCAUAAAUACCUUUUAAAAGGUCUAAUAGUGUUCUUCCUUUGAAGUUUCUAACACCAUUUUUGAAGGCUUGAAAGCGGUAUUAUUCAUGUGUUUCAGUUGAAGAGAGCUGAAUUAUCAAGGUAACAACCAAUUUAAGAAUGGCCAGUUUUCUCCGAGAGAUGUGCUCAUGGAGGGACCUGGGGGAAGAUCCAGUGCUUACCAGGGAUUUCACUGGGCUCAACAAGCCCUGAAAUGUAGGAAGGAGAAGAAACCUGCACAAAUGAAGAGGUGCCCAGCAGACCAUGCUAUCUCAUUGGAGAACCUAGUGGUAAAAAUUCUUCAUAAAAUGAUAGGUGUCUGCUGCUAUGGGAUUAUUUUUAUUAGUAAAAGAUUAGAUGGAGUAAGGCCAGUAAACAGGGAUUCUGUAGAUGACAAGUGUUUCACUUGCCUGUUUGGCAUUGUCUUAAUUGUUACAACAAACAGCAUAAGAUGACGAAAAAUGACCACUUUUCUACUCAGAAGAUAAACUGCCUUUAAAAAGAAAGGAAUGAAACCCAGCUUUAUGAUUUCUAGGAUCCCAGUUAAUUAAAAUGGACAUGACUGGAGAAGCAUAAGCACCUGAGCAGCUUUCAAGACAUUUCUCUGGCAUGUUCUUACUGACUCUGAGCCCUUAUUUCCAACCACAGUGUCUGCUCAUCCUAUUUCAGCACCAUUCAAACCAGCCUCCCCCAAAGGAUCCAGCAAACGUGGUCUGAGAAAAGAGCUGAGCACAAGCUGAGCUGUGAAGAAGAUGAAGAGUUCUGAUGGGAGUUCAUUUGAAAAGAUAUCAUGGCUACAGUGAGUUUAGAUCACAAUUUGCGUUAUUCCUGAAGCUCUGCGUGUAUGUUUCAGUUGCCUUCAUGAAAAGCCGUGUUUUUUGUGAGAAUAAACACAACCUUAAAGUAGUAUUUGUUAGAUAAGACUCACAACA
This is a long non-coding RNA of Harpia harpyja (harpy eagle), 1146 nucleotides long. RefSeq lists it as uncharacterized. The transcript has 3 exons. NCBI's taxonomy places the organism in Eukaryota, Metazoa, Chordata, Aves, Accipitriformes, Accipitridae. The record is from RefSeq and is a predicted model, not a curated record.